GGGCCGGUAGCUCAGCAAGGUAGAGCGGCGGGCUCCAGACCCGUAGGUCCGGGGUUCAAGUCCCCGCCGGCCCA
This 74-nucleotide transfer RNA is filed under the name Infirmifilum lucidum. RNAcentral's name for it is "Thermofilum sp. 3507LT tRNA-Trp". It matches the Rfam family "tRNA". Rfam says of the family: Transfer RNA (tRNA) molecules are approximately 80 nucleotides in length. Lineage: Archaea; Thermoproteati; Thermoproteota; Thermoprotei; Thermofilales; Thermofilaceae. The record is from RNAcentral.